RNAcentral lists this small RNA (100 nucleotides) under Pongo abelii (Sumatran orangutan). Its description in RNAcentral is "processed transcript". The record is from RNAcentral. Lineage: Eukaryota; Metazoa; Chordata; Mammalia; Primates; Hominidae.
CUGGCUGCAAAAUCGCCUGUUUUCCCCUUUCCAGUGGACGCUGGUGAAAUGCCCUCUGGUCUGCUCCAGCCCGCGAUGAGGAAAAGUCCAGGUCUGUCUG